AUGGAUGCUGAGGUCUGAACUGACCAAUCAGAUGACAGCCCGAAAUGAGUGGGCAUCUUUUGGGUUCUGAUCAGGCCUUCCUCGCCUGCGCCUGCGCACCGAACUGGGUUGUGUUCUCAGCUUUGACCUGCUCUCCUACAUCCAUGCGUGUGGCAAGUCUUUGCUUCAGCCUCUGUCGCCUUGUGACCUGCAGGUCGUGGGAGUCUGUGGGGAGGACGCCUGGACACCCAGAAGCCGGGAGAUGAGACGCGGUCUCACCAAGUUGUCUGCGCUGGUCUGGAACCCACAGGAGCAGGCAAUUUACUCCCGUCGAACUCCGAAAGUGCUGGGAUUACAGGCUGAGCCACCGAUCCCGGCCCCAUUACUUUUUGUUGGAAGAGUGAAGAAUUCUGUUAUCUGGAUUAGGGUUUUAUGGUAAAUUUUAUGAGAAAAGCUUGGCAACUACAAGAAGUAUUCACACAUGGUUGUUUACAAAAUGACUUGUUAUCAUGGAAGAGAUAUUUACAUGUUUAUUUUCUGAAAGAAAUACACAUUUUUCUGAUGUUGUUAAGGUUAGUAAGGUAUCUUACAAGUGUUUGCCCUUCAUAAGCAUGAACACUGAGUUAAAGAGAUUUUGCACUGAGUGUUUUCUCAUUUGUAUCUAACUGAGCAAAAUUAACCAGGUCUGAUGAUUCCAAGUCACAGUCAGUCAUGAUCCUGCAAAAGAAAGUCUUUAAGGCCCAGUAAGUUCUUCCAGGGGAGACUCUUCUACAUGUGUGCCCAUGUUUACAGCAGUCAUGGAAGGAGCCCGUGAUAGUGAGAGAAGCUGCUGAACUCUGGAAAGCUGUGGGUUUGCAGGGAGAUGUGUCCAGGGUUGGGACAGAAAUAAAGGAUGUGAUACUGUUUCA
Long non-coding RNA from Carlito syrichta (Philippine tarsier), 887 nucleotides. RefSeq lists it as uncharacterized. NCBI's taxonomy places the organism in Eukaryota, Metazoa, Chordata, Mammalia, Primates, Tarsiidae. The transcript is spliced from 2 exons. The record is from RefSeq and is a predicted model, not a curated record.